AUCGAAUUAAAACUUUAAAAUCUAGAAUUGUCUCUUAUUAAUGAUUCGGAAAUAGAAAAAACUUGAUUAUGUUAUUAUUCUUCGUUGGUUUUUUUUAAUGGAAAACACUUUGCAAGAAAUAAUAACAAGAAAUAAUGGAAAUUUUAUAACGAAUUUAAUAAAAUGUUUUUAUCAUUAUAUAAUAUAUAAAGAAGUAAUGGCAAGAAAAAGUUAUAUACAACCUCAACUCAUAUGGGACUACCCCCUGAAUUUAAGCAUCUUAAUUAGGGGAGGAAAAGAAACUAAAAAGGAUUUUCUUAGUAGCGGCGAUCGAAAAGAAAACAGUUCAGCACUUAGUCACUUUGUCUAUAUAGCAAAUGUGAGAUGCAGUGUAUGGAGCGUCAAUAUUCUAGUAUGAGAAAUUAACGAUUUAAGUCCUUCUUAAAUGAGGCAAUUUACCCAUAGAGGGUGCCAGGCCGUAUAACGUUAAUGAUUACUAGAUGAUGUUUCCAAAGAGUCGUGUUGCUUGAUAGUGCAGCACUAAGUGGGUGGUAAAAUCCAUCUUAAACUAAAUAUAACCAUGAGACCGAUAGUAAACAAGUACCGUGAGGGAAAGUUGAAAAGAACUCUGAAUAGAGAGUUAAACAGUUCGUGAAACUGCUUAGAGGUUAAGCCCGAUGUUCCGUUAUGGAAAAUUCAUCAUUAAAAUUCUAAUAUUUAAAUAAUAUUAUGAGGAUAGUGUGCAUUUUUUCCAUAUAAGGGCAUUGUAAUCUAUUAGCAUAUACCAAAUAAUUAUCAUUGAUUUUUGUGUUUAUUAUAUGCACUUGUAUGAUUAACAAUGCGAAAGAUUCAGGAUACCUUCGGGACCCGUCUUGAAACACGGACUAAGAAGUCUAACAUAUGUGCAAGUUAUAUUGGGAUAUAAACCUAAUAGCGUAAUUAACUUGACUAAUAAUGGGAUUAGUUUUUUAACUAUUUAUAGCUAAUUAACACAAUCCCGGGGCCUUCUAUAUAGUUAUGUAUAAUGUAUAUUUAUAUUAUUUAUGCCUCUAACUGGAACGUACCUUGAGCAUAUAUGCUGUAACCCGAAAGAUGGUGAACUAUACUUGAUCAGGUUGAAGUCAGGGGAAACCCUGAUGGAAGACCGAAACAGUUCUGACGUGCAAAUCGAUUGUCAGAAUUGAGUAUAGGGGCGAAAGACCAAUCGAACCAUCUAGUAGCUGGUUCCUUCCAGAGUUUCCUUCAGGAUAGCUGGUGCAUUUUAAUAUUAUAUAAAAUAAUCUUAUCUGGUAAAGCGAAUGAUUAGAGGCCUUAGGGUCGAAACGAUCUUAACCUAUUCUCAAACUUUAAAUGGGUAAGAACCUUAACUUUCUUGAUAUGAAGUUCAAGGUUAUGAUAUAAUGUGCCCAGUGGGCCACUUUUGGUAAGCAGAACUGGCGCUGUGGGAUGAACCAAACGUAAUGUUACGGUGCCCAAUUAACAUUAACAUUAUACAUUACCGUAGAUGAUUUAUAUUACUUGUGAUAUAAAUUUUGAAACUUUAGUGAGUAGGAAGGUACAAUGGUAUGCGUAGAAGUGUUUGGCGUAAGCCUUCAUGAAGCUGCCAUUGGUACAGAUCUUGGUGGUAGUAGCAAAUAAUCGAAUGAGACCUUGGAGGACUGAAGUGGAGAAGGGUUUCGUGUGAACAGUGUUUGAUCACGAGUUAGUCGGUCUUAAGCUCAAGGCGAAAGCCGAAAAUUUUCAAGUAAAACAAAAAUGCCAAAUUAUAUAAACAAAGCGAAAAUAAUACACUUGAAUAAUUUUGAACGAAAGGGAAUAUGGUUCCAAUUCCGUAACCUGUUGAGUAUCCGUUUGUUAUUAAAUAUGGGCCUCGUGCUCAUCCUGGCAACCGGAACGAUCAUAAAGAAGCCGUCGAGAGAUAUCGGAAGAGUUUUCUUUUCUGUUUUAUAUCCGUACUACCGUGGAAGUCUUUAGCAGAGAGAUAUGGUAGAUGGGCUAGAAGAGCAUGACUGUUGUCGAUAUUUUCUCCUCGGACCUUGAAAAUGUAUGGUGGGGACACGCAAACUUCUCAACAGGCUGUACCAAUAUCCGCAGCUGGUCUCCAAGGUGAAGAGUCUCUAGUCGAUAGAAUAAUGUAGGUAAGGGAAGUCGG
RNAcentral lists this ribosomal RNA (2131 nucleotides) under Drosophila erecta. RNAcentral describes it as "eukaryotic LSU rRNA". The stretch from base 218 to 2131 matches the Rfam family "Eukaryotic large subunit ribosomal RNA", at positions 1 to 1917 of the family's 3401-position model. Lineage: Eukaryota; Metazoa; Arthropoda; Insecta; Diptera; Drosophilidae. The record is from RNAcentral.